UACGUAGGUCCCGAGUGUUGUCCGGAUUUAUUGGGCGUAAAGCGAGCGCAGGUGGUUUAUUAAGUCUGGUGUAAAAGGCAGUGGCUCAACCAUUGUAUGCAUUGGAAACUGGUAGACUUGAGUGCAGGAGAGGAGGGUGGAAUUCCAUGUGUAGCGGUGAAAUGCGUAGAUAUAUGGAGGAACACCGGUGGCGAAAGCGGCUCUCUGGCCUGUAACUGACACUGAGGCUCGAAAGCGUGGGGAGCAAACAGG
This 252-nucleotide ribosomal RNA is filed under the name uncultured bacterium. RNAcentral's name for it is "partial 16S ribosomal RNA". It matches the Rfam family "Bacterial small subunit ribosomal RNA", at positions 524 to 776 of the family's 1533-position model. The record is from RNAcentral.